AGUGAACGCUGGCGGUAGGCCUAACACAUGCAAGUCGAACGGCAGCACAGUAAGAGCUUGCUCUUACGGGUGGCGAGUGGCGGACGGUGAGGAAUACAUCGGAAUCUACUUUUUCGUGGGGGAUAACGUAGGGAAACUUACGCUAAUACCGCAUACGACCUACGGGUGAAAGCAGGGGAUCUUCGGACCUUGCGCGAAUGAAUGAGCCGAUGUCGGAUUAGCUAGUUGGCGGGCUAAAGGCCCACCAAGGCGACGAUCCGUAGCUGGUCUGAGAGGAUGAUCAGCCACACUGGAACUGAGACACGGUCCAGACUCCUACGGGAGGCAGCAGUGGGGAAUAUUGGACAAUGGGCGCAAGCCUGAUCCAGCCAUACCGCGUGGGUGAAGAAGGCCUUCGGGUUGUAAAGCCCUUUUGUUGGGAAAGAAAAGCAGCAGGUUAAUACCCCGCUGUUCUGACGGUACCCAAAGAAUAGGCACCGGCUAACUUCGUG
Molecule: ribosomal RNA, 491 nt
Filed under: uncultured bacterium
Lineage: Bacteria
Description: partial 16S ribosomal RNA
Rfam family: Bacterial small subunit ribosomal RNA
Source: RNAcentral